RNAcentral lists this long non-coding RNA (31621 nucleotides) under Ananas comosus (pineapple). Its description in RNAcentral is "long non-coding RNA (ACOM_LNC016397)". The record is from RNAcentral. Lineage: Eukaryota; Viridiplantae; Streptophyta; Magnoliopsida; Poales; Bromeliaceae.
AAAUUAAAUGUAGGCAUGAGGUAACAAUCAAGUUAUGGGAUAAUGAACAGUAUCAAAUUAAGUCUACUGAUAAUACUUCCAAAAAAUCAGAUUCGUGUGUUUAACUUCAUCCUUAAAAAUAACGUCAUCCUGUAGAUAAGUUAAACUAAUAUUUCGCUCCAAAAUAUGGACAUGUUGAUGUUAGUUUUGACGCUGAAGAGUCUUGGGAGAAAAAAAAAAUAAUUGCAUAUCACAUAAGCAAAAAUAAACGUAAAAUGUAAGAAUUAGCAAACUUUCAACUUUAGUAUCAUAUACAUCUGAAACAAAAUGUCAGAAUUGUAGAAUGGCAUUACCUGAUCAACGAGCAUCUAGAAUUAGAAUCAUUUGCAUCACAAUACGUAAACCAAUGUACUAUAAGCAGUAUCUGUAAAGAGUAAAUUAUACCAGUCUAGGACAAGUAGCUACUUAGUAAUGCAGUCUCUUUCUACAUCAUCGCAAACAUGAUUAAACACAUAGCAAGUUCUAUUUUGGUAAUUAUAUUUUCAUUAGAAUGGCUAUGAACUCUUCCACAUAUAUAAACACAUUCGGGUGUAAAUGUUGGCAGACGAUACAACAUUACAAAACACUAAUUAAAUCUGUUAACUCAAUGCACUAUAAAAUGAGAUUGACCAAAAUUUUCUAUGUGAUUUUCAAACUUUCAGGAAACGAAUUUCAGAAUAAACUAAUAAUCAAUAUUAUAUUCAUUCAUAGUCUACAGCAUGGAGCUGAUUAAAGAACAACCUUGACAUGAGAUAAAUGCCUCUUAUCAAACUAAAUGUGGCCCUAUGGAACCAACUAACAAAUCUAAGGAUUGGUUUAGGCACAGAAAAUAAGGUUUGUAACUAAAAGUUAGGUGAAGUAGUGAUGUAGAUCGAGUCAUGUAGAUGGUGACAUGAUGCUAUUUGAUUUUAAACAUCAACAAAUUAAAAAAGCAGUGAUAAUAUACAAGAUAAAAGUGGAUAAUGAAGCAGAGAAAGAGAAGAAAAAGUGGAUAAUGAAGCAGAGAAAGAGAAGAAAUUAGGUACGAAAGGGAUAAGGGAGUUAACAGACAAGAUGUAUAAGAAAGGCAUACAAUAGGAGAGAGGCUAAAUCUCUUGGUCUAAUUCGUCAAAAAGGUUCUGGUAUUAAUUCAUAGAGAGAAACUAUAAGACCACAAAGGGAACAAAAAUAUUAGAGAAUACAACUUGACUACAACAAGUACCACGGAAUAUAGGUCAAAAAAAAGGAAAAAAAAAACUUAAAACCGGUGGAUUCAGUACAAAGGCAGGAAGCCGAUUCCUUCUUGAUUCCCAUACCUUUACAGAGGAAUUACAUGGUAGAUUAUUCAAGAUUAAAAAGACAUUAGCAAACUUUCCCUUUAAUUCAGAGUUUACGAUCUAUUUCACAAGAGGUCCAUUGGAAUAUUGUUAAUUCUACAACGGCGUGAACGUCAGGGUCUACAGACCCUACUUCAAUAUUAGGUUGACUUGGGAAAUUCUAGGACUAUACUUUCGUUGCACGUUGAGUGUUCUCCAAAAAUGCUAAAUGGAACUUAUGGCCUCACUGGCAUUGUUGCUGCUUUCACAAUUAUUUAAACACAAAUACUAUGUGAUUCGAUGAGAUGGCGGAUGGAGUUCUCCACUUUUGUCAUUGUCUGUUAGCUUGCGAUAAGCCCGGGCAGGAUGAAGAAUCAAGUUCUCUAUUUUGAUCUAUAGCGACCCCAAGUCUUUGUAUCCGGUUCUUCCCAUAAUCUUCAAAGUAGUAGAACAUCUUUCUCAGUAGCUAGAUAGAACAACAAAUGAUCUCCCGCCAACGAAUCAUCUUUCUCACCAUGUAUGAUGAAGGCAAUCCAAUUUCCUACGGCUAUCUUUGCACUUCACACAGCCUCCUCUUGCUUCGGUCUUUUGAAUUUCUAAUGUUCUAUAGAGUACUAACAAAGGGAGGGGAAAUUCUUGAUUCUAUUUAUCUCCACUUCUUUGAUUCCUUAUUACAUAUUCGCUAAAGGUCAGAUCUAUUUCAAAGAAAAGAUGUGAUUUUGAUUAGCAAGCUCUUAGCUUUCAUCGUAGUGAGAGAGGAAUCGAGGCUGAUCCAGCAAAGGUGAAAGCAUUGUCAAUCUAUGCCAAACUAAGGGCACCUGAGGAUGAAAAGAGCUAGUACCCUUUCUCGUUCGGUUAGCCAGUAGCUAGGGCACCACAGAGAUAAGAGGAAAAGAUAAGAGGAAAAGACUAUCCCUCCAGGUUAACCGCCGACGACAACAUCUCGGAAAAAAUCUCUACCUUGUCUUAAGGUUCUUUGGUGUACUAACUUACCAUAAGCUCGAGUCAUAUUAUGCCGAUACAACUCAAGAUUCUGCUAAAGGCAGCCAGCAGUCUAUGGCAGGCAUUUCGCGGUUUCACUAUCUGAGGGAGGGGACGGAAAGAAAGGAGUCGAUCACCUAGCCGAUCCCGUACGAUCGUUGUUUCAUUUCAACCGAUCAGCCGAGGAGGAAGAUUGGGUCAUGUCCUCUAUAGAUAAGUAAUUUGCACCAAUUAAUUAAACGAGUCAAGUUAAAACGAAACAAUAAGCUAAAAUCCACAUCAAUUCUCCUCUUCUCCUCACCUACCAUCCUCUACCCUCACUCUGCCUGGAAUCUGGAUGGAGAGAAAGCGAAGGGAAGAGAGAAACAAAAAGAAAAUUAUCUUUCCCACCAUACAAACAUAGGAAAACCUCCAAACUCGCAGUCGAUCUCUCCACACAUGCUUAUAAGACAACGAAAGCCCCAACUAAGUUCAGCAUCUGGAUUCAAUAAUUGAGCAAAAGUAUACGGAACUUACCUGAAAUUCGAUCCACAUACUUGCUUCAAUGAAACUGUGCUCGCGUAAAGUAAUCGAAAUAUGCUAAACAAACUCAUAAGCGAAGAUUAGGGAUUGGUUCGAUGCGUUUUGACCUAGCAGUUGUCACAAGCAACGAUCACAAAGACUGUGUGGCAGCAAGAUCUGAUCUAGAUCUAUCGUUAAAUUUGGCCCUUUAUUAGUCGGGGAGAAGAGCAGUAGUAACCUGGAGCAGCGGUCUGGUAGGCGCGGGCGUAGUAGGUGGGGGCAGAAUGGGGCGGCAGGUGGCCGGUGAUGCCGGGCGGCGGAGUCGGCUGGGGGAAGCCCAUCGCCGGCGGCUGCGGAGGGUAGGUGGGCACGCCUUGGAAGGUGCCGUACUGCUGCUGCUGUUGCGGGGUCUGGGGCUCGCCCGUGCUCUUCCCCUCCUCCUUGCUCGUCAUCUCCUUCUUUCUUGUUUCUCUCCUGUUUCUUUUUCCUUUUUUCUCUGCUAUUAUGAGCUUACGACGACCCUCUCUCACUCUCUAUUAUUAUAUCUCUUACUAUUAUGCGCGUUUGUUUACAUGUGCAUUAGGUUGUGAUGGUUCCGGUAGCUGAAACAAGCUAUCACAGUAGUUAAUGGAUUUGCGUGGGUCUCCGCUGGUGGGCCGUCUGGAUUGAUAUGUGUCUAUCUGUACGUCCUCCCAGAUUUUCAUAAAGAUUUCAAAAUUAUAUUUUUUAAAUAAACACGACAAUGAUUUUUUCAGGAGCACUAUUCUUCUAAUUUUUUAACUCAUGAUCAUUUCUAAUAUUUGAAUUAAUAUUAUUUUUUGACGAAAGUACUAAAUCUUAGAAGGAUUACUAUUAUGUCAAUCCUACAAUGCUGAUACAAGUACCAAAAAGUCGAAAGUGACAACCUUUUCACUCUUUCGAAGAAAGUAUACUACUCUAUACAAAGUAUACAAAAUUUACCUCAACUAAUAUCUAGUUUGAUUUGACCAUCUGACUUAUAAAAUUUUUUAUUUUAUUAUCUAAUCUUGUAAUUUAUUGAUUUAAGUCGGUUAGUGGCCCUUUAACUUUAAAAUUUGGACGUCUUAUUUAUGUUUAUAGGUUUUAGUUAAUAUAUUUUAUAUAAUUCAUAUAACAAUAAAUUUUUUAAAGUAAGCAAUUAGUUUAAAAUUUAUAUCCGAAGAUGAGCCAUUAAAUUAUUUAAAUCAAACAAAUUAAACGGUUGGGUACUAUAAAAUUAGAAUUUAGAAAAUCAGAUAGUCAAAUCAAAAUGGUCUACAGUUUAAAUAAGUUUUAUAUAUUUCUAUUUAUAAUUUAUUAAAAGUGUUCUACACCAUAAAUAAUAUACAUAUCAAAAAAUAAUAAUUUUUUAUUUUUAUCUAUGAUUUUUUUUUAAUAAGCAAUGCUACUUGUACAUUCCAAAAUGCGGCGUAUUUCUUAUACCUUUUUCAUCCAAGAGUUAUCAUCUCUUACUUGUCACAUUAUUUUUUUUUAAACUAAAAUCUAUUUGGAUUUUUUUUUAUGUACAAAUAGAAUUUUUCUUUUUAAUGAAAAAUUCUAGUUGUACAUCUAAAAGAAUGUAUAGAUCUUACUCUCCAUUCCAAAGUUCAAAAAAAUUUAAAUAAAUUAUAGUAAAAAGAAAGAAAAAUAAUGUAAUAAGUAAAGAAAUUAUGAUCUUGGACCUAAAUUUGCCACCGUUUGGUUUGGGGUUAAGUAAAAUCUUGUUAUUUCAGAGAUAGAGUUAAGUUCGGGGUUAAUGUGGGAUUAGAGUAAUUUUGUGUUUGAUUGAGAAUUGGAUUUAGUCCAGGUAUAAAUAAAAUAGUAUUUUGUUGGAGUAGACGGGAUAAGAAGAAUAGUGGAUAAAAUAGUAUUUUGUUUUGUUGGGGUAGCGGGUAACCCCAUCCCAAAUCGGCUAUUCCGGAUAGCCUAUUUGGGAUGGGGUUAGCUAAAUCCACCUCCGAAAUUGGAUGUUUAGAAAUAAUUUCGUGAUUAAGUGGUUAUUCCACCUCUUAACUCCGAACAAAACGGGUGCAAAAAGGUGUGGGAUAUUAUCUAUUUUAAAGUGUACCAGUCGCAUUAAUCUAAGUACUAAAGUAUUUUAUCCAAGUCUAAAUGUCUAAUCCAUAUAAAUAACUUCAGGUAUCAAGCGUAAACACAUCAACCGAUAAAGAAAAGUUACCAAGUCCCAAGAGGUAAAGAUAAACCUAUUCAACGUUCAAAGUAGUCUUAGCCCGUACCUGUGAAUAUUUGUUUGGAUCCAAAGCGUACGGAAUGCAACGCGGCCACAAGCGCCUUUGGGACCACUGGUGCCAGGACGGUGAGUUGUAAUCAGAAAAAAUGGAAAACAUAGAUGCGAAGCCCUUACACUAGAGGUGCAAUCUAGCUCACUCUUCGCCAGCUAGCUCUUGUUCGACGCGUAAUAAGCUCGAGAACGAAUCGCUUGUUUAGUAAACAAAUCGAAUAUGAACUGAAUUUUUCAAAUUAUUUAAUAAAUGAGCCAAACACGGGCUUGAGUCAGCUCAUUCGUGUUUAGCUCGAUAACAGCUCAAACACAUAUAUUUUAUAUUUAUAUAAUUUAUUUAAUUUAUAUAUAUAUAUAUAUAAAUAAUUAUAUAUAUAAAAUAUAUAUAUUUUUAUUAUUUAAUUUUUAGCAAAAAAAAAAUAUAAAAACGAGUUCAAUUAUAAAAAUACUCAUUUAUAUAUAACGUUUCAACUAUUAGAUCAAAGUCUAAUGGAUAAAAUUUUAUAAAUUUAUUUUUUAUAUAUAUUCAAUCUAAUCCUUUUAACUUAAUGUUCGUUGGCCAGCUCGUGAGCCAGCUCGNNAUAUAUAUAUAUAUAUAUAUAUAUAUAUAUAUAUCUAAUCCAAUCCAUUUAACUUAUCGUUCGUCGGCCAACUCGUGAGCCAACUUGUGUUCGGCUCGUUUAUUAAUGAGCCGAACACGAGCUAAAUUUUUUGAUUCGAUACUUUAAUAAGCCAGCUCGUGUUCGGCUCGUUUAUUCGGUUUGUUGACACCCCUACUCACGACAAUGAUAAAAAUGUGUCAUCAACUGUCCUUAACACUAGUAGCAAAAAAUUUAAUAAUUAAUAUCCAAAGUCUCAAUUUUGAGGUCUAGUUAUUUUAUUUUUUUAGCUAAGUUUGUUGCUCUAAAAGAAGUAAUAAACGAAAUAGUAGCAUACUACCAUUCUCUUGAAAAGAUAUUGAUUUAAUGUGUCACAAAUACGAAUGUAAAUGCGCCUUAUUUAUAUUUAGUUUAUUGAUAUUUAUUUGUCAAAGCCGGGAAUUUAUUUCUUAGUAUAAUUUCCAACAAUAUUGCUCAAUGCGUAAUUUGUGAGGUAACUAAAUAAAUCAAGUUCAAAUUCACCGAAACCAAAUAUACUUGGACUAAAAGUCUAGUGUAACUAAUGCUUCAAAAUUGCUACAGUCUAAUGAGAGAUUUUACAAUAAAAUAUACUGAUGUUGACCAGUUUUGUCCAAUAUAAAUUCUUAGCGGAAUAUAUAUUAUAUUAUUGGGUAAACUUCAAAUCCCUAUAGUAGUUUCACACUUUUUCACUACAGUACUUUGUGGUUUAAAGUGUAUCGAGUUAAUCUCUGUAGUUUCACACUUUCUCACUUUAGUACCCUGUUGUUAAAAGUGUAUUAAGUUAGAACCAUGUGUUUCAUUUUUUUCUUUUUAUUAUCCAUUUCACUAAUUUUUUUCGUGAAAUCAAUGACAAAUAAGGAUGUCAAUAGAUAUGGAUAUCCGAAAUUUUAUCCGAAUCCGAAUCCAAAUAAAACGAAUAUAUCCGAUGCUAAAUGGAUAUGGAUUCGGAUAUGGAUAUCAAAAAUAGAAACCCGACGGAUAUGGAUUCGGAUAUGGAUUUUGACUGUAAUCGACCGAACCCGAACCCGACCCGAACCCGACCCGAACCUGAAUUUAUUUUGUAUUAUAUAUAUAUUCUAUAUAUAGAGCUAGGCUGGUAUACUAUCAGUAGCACGGAGGCCUCCGUGCUACCAAGUUGUUUUCAAUGAUGCGGCUUUCAAAUCGACGAUCGGCUCCGUUAGACUUGAUCUACACUAUUAAAAGUAUUUGGAAACAAAAUUUCAUAAUUUUUCGACAUCAUUUUGGCUAGUGAUCAAAAGGUUCCAAAAUUAACAAUUUUAAUGGUAGAUAUGAUGCGUUUUUAGGUUCAACGGUGUAGAAGUAUCCAAAUUAGAUGAAAAUUUAAUAGAAAUUUCUACUUAACAUCAAUAGCAAGACCAAUACUUCCGAUUUGAAUUUUGAAUUCUUUAUCACGUGUUUUUAUGAGAUUUUCAUUUUCAGCCGUUCAUUUUUAGACUACUUUGAAAGUAAAUAAUGCGGAAAAAUUAUGAAAUUUAGUUUCCAAAUACUUUAAUAGUGUAGAUAAGUCUAACGGAGUCGAUCGUCGAUUUAGAAGCGCGCAUCAUUGAAAACCACUUGGUACAGGAGGCCUUCCGUCGCUACCGGAUGAGUAUACCAGCCUAGCUCUAUAUAUAUAUAAUUAUAUAUAUAUAUAUAUAAUAUAUAUAUAUAUAUAUAAGUGCGUCUGGGUGCUUUCGAAGCACGGAGCGCUCCGUGGCUUCCUUUUUUUCGAUGUUGGGACUUUCAAAUCGACGAUCGGCUCCGUUAGACUUGAUCUAGAGUAUUUGAAGUAUCUAGAAAAAUAAAUUUUGCGAUUUUUUCGAUAUCAUUUGCCUAGUGAUCGAAGUGGCUCAAAAUCAACGUGAAAAUAAAAAUCUCACAAAAUAUGAUGAUAUGACAUUAAAAAUUUUAGAUCAAAGUUAUUGAUCUUGUUAUAUGGUAUAAAGAAUUUUCUAUCAAAAUUUCACGUGAUUUGGAUAUUCUACACCGUUAAACUGGCAACCGGCUCACCACGGCCGUUAAAUUAUUGAUUUGAGCCCUUCGUUACUAGGCAAAUGAUAUCGAAAAAUCGCAAAAUUUAAUUUUUGGUAUUUUAAAUACUCUAGAUCAACUCUACGGAGGCCGCAUCGGUCGAUUCGAAAGUCCGAACAUCGAAAACAAAGUGGAAGCACGGAGGCCUCCGUGCUUCCAUAAGCAUACCAGCCCACUCUAUAUAUAUAUAUAUAUAUAUAUAUAUAUAUAUAUAAAUUGAUGUUAUAUUUGAAUUUGUAUUUUAAAAAUUUAGAUUUAAUAUAAUAUAUUUUGAAAUAUUGAAAAAAAAAAUAAUUGUUUCGGGUUUAAAUUUUCGGGUUCGGAUUCGGGUUCGGGUUUCGAAUUUUUGGUCGGGUUUGGGUUUGGAUAUGGAUUUUUAAAAUCCGUCGGGCUCGGGUUCAGGUUCGGAUCUCGGGUUUGGAGUCAGGUUCGGAUCUCGGGUUUGGAGUCCGGUUCGGGUUCGGGCUUUUGAAAAUCCGCCCCGAAUCCGACCCAUUUGACAUCUCUAAUGACAAAGUUAAAAUUAAUGGGUACUAAAGUGAAUAUUCGAUAAAUCUAGAUAGGAUAUCGAAAGUUUUUUGUACAUAAUUUAACGAAAUAUUAACGGAGAAAAAAAAAUCAGUGACAAAAUUAAAACUAAAGAAUAUUAAAGUAAAUAUUCAACAAACCUAAGUAGGGUAUCUGAAGUUUUUUGUAUAUAACUUAACGAAAUAUUAAUAGAGCAGCCGACAAAAAGAUAAAAAUAAGAACCACAGGGUAUUAAAUAAUUGAUGUACUUUAAACCACAGAGUACUAAAGUGAAAAAGUGCGAAAUCACAGGGUACAAAAUUGAUAUAUUUUUAAACUACAUGAUAGUAAAGUGAAAAAGUACGAAACUAUAGAAGUGGUUUUUAAAGUUUUUCCUUAUUUAUGCUUACAUAAUGACAAAUUUUUUAAGGAUUAGACCUACAGAGCACCAUCUGUCACACAAAGAUAAGGCAAUUACUGCAAAUAUAAUGUUUUGGAGUAGGCACAGAGGGCCAUGUUUAUCACGAAAAAAAGAAAAAAACAAUACAUGACAAUAAGAAACAAAGAACAAAAAACACAAAACGACAAGUUAAAAAAUAACCAAAAAGGUUUUCACGCAUUCAAAUUAGACUCAUCUCUAAUGGAUAUACCAACUAGAGUGGGCCCUAGACCCUAGUGGACCUGACUAGGGCCAGUAGUACAGUUAAAACCAAAUGUCUCUUUGUGAUGCCUCGAACUUGGACCGGUCGUUUUAUUCAGGGAAAGCCUCAAUUAGCCUCGCUGUCAUUUUUUGUCCUAUGUCACUUUAUUAUUCUAUAGUUUUAUUUUUAUUAUAAAUUGAUAAAAUUUAUAAAUUAUAGAAUAAUAAAUUAAUAUAUUUUACAAAACCACACGGUGAUAAAAAUUAUAGAAUUUUACUAACUUAUAUUUUCAUAUAGUUAUCCUAUAGUUUGUAAAAUAUACUAAUUUAGCAACCUACUUAACGACAAAACUAAUGGGCAAGGUAAAAGUAAAACCAUAUAGUAGUAAAGUAAGACAAUCAUACUAGAGGAUACCAAAUUGAAAAUAAGUUAAACCACGAGGGGCCAAAUUGAAGUUUUUCCUAUAAUUAAAACCAAUUCUCUCUCUCUCUCUCUCUCUCCUCAGAAAAUAUUCAAGAACAUUAAAUUAUAUGAAAUAACUUUAGAAGCUUGACAUGACUCGAAAAGUAAGGGCCUCUAUCUCUAAUACCAUAUUAAAUUAUAUAAAAUAACUAUUUAUCUCCAAAAUCAUAAGCCUCAAAGAGCAAGUUUUUUAAUAUUUAUAUUUAAUAAAAAAUAUUUUCAAAUCAAUUUUUAUUGUACCAUACGAGAUAGCAAAAAGUCUAAUAAAGAAUAGUGUGGUAAUCUCAUACUAAAAUGAUAUUUUUAAAAGGGGCAAUGACUUAUAUAUUCCUAAAAAAUUUUUGACUUUCUGAUUUAUCCCUCUGAGAAGGCUAAUAUUGAAAAUACUUUUUUUACAUUCCAACCUAUUUCAAAUAUACUUCUAGAGUUAAAUUCUGCAAUAAUUGUUAUCUAUAUGAAAUUACUAUUUUACUCUUUCAAAUAUACCAUUCCACUAUUAUCGACUUUUUUUAUUUGCCCUGAAGUUAGGGACACAAAAAAUAUUUUAAUUUUUGGUCUUUUUAAAUAUACUCUUCUACCAUCACUUAUAAUUUUUAUUUGCCCUUAAGUUAAGAGCAAAAGAGGCAUUUUUAUUUUUAUUUUAACUCUAAUAGAUAUUUAACUCACGUUUAACUCAAGUUAAUUUAACGGAUGGUAACUGUAGAGGUAUUUUGGAAUAACGGAGGAACAUAUGGGAGGUAUAUUAAAAAGAAAAAAAAGGGUAAAUAAGGUAUUUUCGAAAUUUUGAGGGAUAUAUAGGCAAUUAUUUCUUUUUAAAAUAUACUUACACUUUUGAAUAAUAUUAAAACUUUCAGUUGAUUUUUGUUAUUUUUACAUAAAACAAUAAUGCCUCUAAUCGUAAGGUAGGAAAAAAGUCUUAUCUCGAACAUGCAUUCCAUUUAGAAGUAGUAUCAUUCAAAUAAAAUUUCCAUCCUGCAUAGAGGUAUGAAAAUUUUUUAUUUUACGGCAUAAUUUCAACUCAAAGUUAGGAUAUAGCUCAAAACUAGAUUUUCACCCGUGCGAUGCACGGCUUAUAUAAUAAUAUAGAAUAAUAAAAAUUAUUAUGUGAUGAUAACAAAAAAAUUUUCUAAUUAAUUAUAUAUUUUUUAAUAAAUAAAAAAAUAUACUAUCAAUCUUAAUUAUAGUACAUAUAAAAGUAUACAAGAUAGAGAAAAAAAAAUUUGGACCAAAGUAAAUAUUCAACUAAAAUGCAAAAUUCAAUCCUGCUCUAUUAUCUAUGAAUUGGUGUGCAAAAUAAUUUACAUUUACAUAUUGAUGUGCGAAAUAAAAUUGAUAACUAAAAUUGAUAUGAAAAAUUACAAAUGAUAUUAAUAUUUAAGCAUAUAAUGAGAUCAACUAAACUUUCAUAUUUGACACAAAUUAGAGUAAGCACACAUAUAUUAGCUUUCUAACUGUACUUUAAGAUCAAAAAAUAUAUAGAUUUGGUUUUCAAAACAUAUAAGAAAAAAAAAUUUGUUGCCUGAAGAUUAAAGAGUUAAGAUACAGUAUGGAAAUAAUACUAAUGAAAAUUAACAGAAGUGAUAGGAAAUAAUUAUGUUCUAUUUAAAACAUCAAUCUUACAAGCGAAAAAAAUUACAGAAGUGAUGUGAAUUUUUUAAUUUUCCUUCUUCAAAAUGUCUCUAUACCUUUUUUACUAAUAUUAAUGCAGAAUUAUUUCAACCAAAAUCAUUCAAAUAAUUAAAUACUUUUAUUCUCACAGCGAAUACGCGCGCCGCCAAUUUCUUUCGCAACAUAAUAUCCAUAAAUUUCUCAAUAUCCAAUGACUUUGAAAUAAAAUUUCCUUAUUAUAUGUGAUUUUAAUAAUAUAAUCGUAAAAGCUAUAUAAUUUUUUUAUAAAGCGUAUUUUAAUUUUUUCUCCAAACAUGUCUCUUAUCAUUUUUACUAUAUUUUUAUGUCCAAACAUUUUCAACCAAUCAUUUCAAAUAAUUAACUAAGUAUACAAUAUUACUAAAUAAAAUACAAUUAUUUGCUCUUCAUGCAUAAUACUUCACCGGCCAAAUUUUUGCCACAUAAUAUCCGUGAGAUUUUGAAAAUAUCUUCAACAUAAUUAUAGUAUGACUUUUGAACAUAAAAUUCCUUUAUUAUAGGUGAUUUUUAAUAAUAAUAGCAACAAAUAUUAGAUUAUACCAUUAGAUUUUAUCUAAUUGAUUGAAAUAAAACAUUUGUUUAUUUUGUGACAAUAUACCCUCGAUUUAUAUCAAUAUAUUUUCUAGUAUACGCUUUCUCAAUAUUUCCUUCUCACCGUAAUAUCCGCAUCCAGUUCAAUCUUUCUACAACGUAAUAUCCAUGAUAUUCUCAAAUAUUUCAUUAAUUCCCUAUCAUCUCAAAUAUUUCAUUAAUCCACCUAUCUUAUAGUAAAAAAUAAAGACGAUGAAACGUGAAAAACAUAUAGAAGCCCGUUAGAAUAUGUCUCUAUCAUUUUUUAGCUACUAUUUUAUGUCCACGUAAUUUUCAACUAAUAUAUUCAAAUAAUAACUAAGUAUAAAUUUAUUUCCGAAUAAACGAUAACAUAUUCUUACUCAUGCGUAAUAUCUGUACCCGCAAAUUCUUUCGCACGGAAUAGCCGUGAUUUAAAUCUCAACAAUAAUAUAUAGUGACUUUGAAAUAAAAUUUCCUUCAUGUACAGUGAUUUUAAUAAGUAGUAAAUAGAUAUAUAUUUCCUUUAAAAUAUUAAUUUUAUUUUUUAAAGUAGAAAUUGUAUUUGAGUUUGACAACUUGAUUUUCUUAUAUAGUAACAAAUAUUAUUUUCUUUAAAAAAUUCUAAUUUAUUUCCUAUUAUAAAUUUAUUUAUUACAGGUGAUUUUAAUAAUAUAGUAAAAAGAUAUUAUUUUCUUAAAAAAUCUAAUUUUGUUUUCGCAUAAACGUAUAUAUUCCUUUCAAAAAAGAAACUAAUUUUAUUUUCCGUAAAGUAUUAUUUCCUAAAAAUCUAUAUUUUAUUUUUCCUAAAGUAAAAUAUUAUAUUUGAAUUUUGACACGUAGAUUAUUUUCCUAUCUCAUUUGCACCGCCAAUUCUUCGGUAAUUCUCAAAUUCUCAACAUAAUUAUAGUGGACUUUGAAAUAAAAUCACCUUCAUCAUUAUAGGUGAUUUUUUAAUAAAUUUAAAAGAUAACUAUUAUCUUAAAAAAAAUUUAAUUUAUUUUUCCUCAAGUGUCAUAUUCCUUCAUAGUAAUAAUAUCCUCAAAAUAAUUAUACGGUGACUUUGAAAUAUUCCCCAAAAUAGAAAAUUUGAGCUAACAUACAUUUUUUCUAUAUAGUAAAUAUAUUUUUUUUAAAAAAAUCUAUUUUUUUUCCUAAAAAUAAAAAAUUUAUUAUUUUGAGCUUGACAAUAAUUUAUCUAUUUAUAUUUGAGUCACGAUCUUCAGCUUUUCAGAUAGAGCUCGUAAGGUUCUACUUAUAGUAUAUAGUAAUAGAUUUAAACUUACUGGAACCCACAUAUGCAUGAAUGGGACUUUUUUUGUAGUGCACUACAAUUGUUACCAAAUUCUGAAUUGAUUAGGUUGACUAAAACCCUCGCACUAUUUGCAGUUGGUCAUAGCCACUCUCUGGGCUAAAUUAUUGAAACAGGCCAGGCUUACGAAGUGGAAUCAGAGUUGUUGUAUGGCCGGGUUGACAUCUUAGCCCAACACCAUAGCUGGUCUUCCAAUCUAAACACCAUGAUGCCAUGUGCUUAAUUUUCAGCUAACCUUGCUGCAAUCACAAUUUUUAGACAAAUUUAUUUAACGUUCUUUGUGACACCGCUGAAUAGAGUCCCAAUCAUAUAAAAAAAUUAAUGAAUUGGAUAUUCAUGAAGACUCAUGGACCAUAAUAAUAAAAGCAGUUUGAAUAAAUAUUUUCGCGCGGUGUUUACGUCAACGAGUUAUCAUACUAUGAAACUCGGAUCGCUAUAUCAUGUUAAAGUCGAUUCACCACCGAAAGUUGGACACACCUCUAUGAUUUGAGGCCGAGUAGAGUUGAACCAAACACUGAGGGCAAAUGAACCCUAAAUAAUCAUUAGCAUAUAAACACUCCUCCGCUUCUUCUUUUCCCCUUCGUCUCUUUCUUCUUCUGUUGCGGCAAGCGCACCGCGGGCUAGUCUUGACUUUCUCAUGCUUAAAUGUGAUGGUGUUUUGAAUCAAUGGAGUGAAAGCAUAUUAAUUGAACUUCACCAAAUGUGCAUCAUUUUGCCUGUUUGAAUCACUUACGCACAUCAUGUAACAAGCUUGAGAAUGAGCUUUGCUCUUCCAAGAAAGGAUUUCAUACUAUAAACUAGAGAAGUACAUCGCUGAGGAGUUCGAGAAUUGCUUCUAUCCUCUCUUCAUUCUCAAGAAGCGUCGCGUGCAGUAAACUUCCUUACAAGGUUACAAUUUCUCAACCAUACUAUAUUAUAUAUAUAUAGAGCCAAUCAGCUCCGAUUAGUCACGCUAAGCAUAUGUCAAACAUUGACCACAUAUAAAGACAAAACUUGUACCUUGAUCCUGAGAACUGAAUACAUAAUUCUUGACUCCAAUAUAAUCUGCUAUGUUGGAGCUCUUGUUAGUUACACACUGUAUAAAGAAAAUUCUUUGAUAGAGGAUCUAAUGCGAAAAUGUCAUAUAUUUAAAGCUUUUUCAACCACCUUGACUUGUAUCUCACCGUCAUAAACACCAUAUUCUUUCUUGUUUCUUUCUUUCUUUUCACAAAAAUAAUAAUAAUAAAGGAGAACUCCAAUUGUUUGCAGUGAAUUUUAAUGUAUACAGUAAGUAAAACGCACAUUUGAUUUGUAUUUCAGAUAAAGUACUUAGCCAUCUUAUGACUCCCUGAGCCACCAACAGAAAGCAAAAAAAAAAAAAAAAAAAAAAGAGAAUAUGAGGAAAAAAGAGAGGAAAACACAAAUUCUCUACAAUAAUUUACAUCGCUCUUUAAUUUCUAUCCUUCGCAACCUAACUUGUGUGUAUCAAAAUGAGAUUUCCAAAUUUUUUAAUCCAUCCACAUUUAAUCCCAAGAAAAAAAAAAAAUAAAGGAAAAAAGAAGGAACUUAUUUUGUAAAAUCCAAGUAAAGGGAGAGGAAUCACUCAAUCACCAGAUCCAUUACACUUCUGCACACCUCAUCGGGCGAAUCCGAGCGGGAUUGUCCCAGUCGUAUAAAAUUGGAAAUUCAUGGCUGGGCUGGAUUCCCUGAUGACGACCAGCGCUCGACCGCGGCGUGCGAGAAUGGCGAGACACACCAAUACCUCCGCUCGAGCCGGAUGAAGUAGUCUCCACGGGAAUCCACACCGUAACCGUCGCGAACACAUCGCAACUCCGCAGCUCCACCGUCCUCCACCGAGACGGUCAGGAGUCUUAGCACGGAUAAGUACAGUCGAGCGGCCACGAUAGAUUCUUGACCCUCUCGACGAACGCUUCCUCUGAAUCACCGCAUAACGCCGGAUCGGCGAAGUAGCUCAGCGUCGUCCCCCGAACGACGAGGUCUCGCGCCGCCUCGUCCCGGACAAAUAUCCAGUCUCCGGGGAAUUGCUAGGCAUGAUGGCGCGACAGAUCCCUUGAUCGAGACGUAUAAGAGUGUCUCGCCGGUUUGUCCUUCCGGCGACGAAGCGGUUGUAAUUGAGAUCGGUGGCCAGCACCUCCGGUCCGCCCGCGAAUAAUCAGCUGGCUGGACACCUUCAUGUCGCUGUCAGCGGUUCGACGAGGCAGUAGUGAGAAGGCUGGCGUGACCCGCGAGCCUGCGAGGCGAACGACAGCGGCCGCGGCCGAGGCCACCCGCAGCACUCCCGGCGUCGCCGUGGAACAGCCCCGCGUUCCAGUGUGCCCCGCAGCCGAAGAUCACGUUGUCCACGCGCGGAAACGCGUUCAGCCAUUGGUCGCGGGGAGGAGGUUCACGGUGACGCUCGAGCGGCGAGGUCCCGUGGUGUCGAAGUAGUCGCCGACCAGUAGAAGUAGGGCAGGGAGGGGGAAAGGGGGGGCAGGGGUCGGGGGUCGGAGGCGACGAGGGCGCAGCGGGUGUCGAGCAGGGAGUGCGGAAGGAGGAGGAGGAGGUUCGAAGGGGCCGUCUGGUCGAAGCAGGCGAGCAGGAGGGCGCCUGGAGCCAGUUGAGGUCGGCUGCCGUGUCCAGGAUACGAGAAGUGCCGUCGGCGGGGUCCCACGAAACACGUCCAUCAGUAGCUUGCCCCGACCCCAGCGUCACGCGUCCGACUCAGCCGCGCCCCACCGCCCCGCGCAGCCGCCGACCUACCGCAGCUCCCGUCAGAGUCUCGGUCUAUCUUCUCCUUCUCCUCUCCUUCUCCGCGAGUGCGCGACGCCGCAGAGGUCGAGUUCAUGAUUCUUCCUGUCCGCGAUCCAUACCUGACAGGUCCUGAUCCGAACCACGUCCUUCUGCGCCGUCUCUCCACAUUCGAUUCCUCGCGCCUGUGCCUCACUGCAGCUUCAGCGCGGGGCGGGGCGAGGCGCUGGCUUUUCAGCCUCUAUCUGUCGACCGGAGAACGUCGCGGGGCUGCAGGCCGGAAUCGGACGCCACCCGUUGAAAGACUCGGCAGCUCGAUCCGCGAGAAAGAGGACUUUCUGGAGGUCGAAAGUUCGCGCUGGAGAGAGAAGCCGACGAGGGGCCGAAAUGGAUAGAGAGAUUAAUAGAAGAUCAACUGGAACUGAAAGAUUAGAGCCAAUUUUUUUUUCACAGCUGAUUCUGUCAUGAAAUAACUCAGAUCUAUAGCUCAACAACGGAGACGAAAUUAAUUCUGAAGGAACAACAAUACAUUAUAUAUUUUUUAAAAAAAAAAUAAACAAACUGGGGAGAGGAGAGGAAGUGGAGGAGUGGAUAUUGAGGAAACAAAGAGGAGUCAAAAUGGGAGUUUCCCAGAACAUUAGCUGUGUGUGUACUUUGAAAAGAGAGAGGAGAGAAAAGGUUAGUUUGAAUCACGGUUGGAGUUAUAUUGGGAAGUCCAAGCAAUGGGGAAAAGGGCUUCUCUGCCGAAGGGCGAGAACGAAGACACAUUCCUUGUUUUAUUUUAUUAUUUAUUAUUUUAUAACUCUAGUGCGGCAGUGUUAUUAAAACCAAAAGUAAGAAGAAAAAUAAUAAUAAUUUUUUAUAGUAUUAUAUCCUGAACUUGAUUUUAAGUUUUCGAGGAGCAACGGACAGUGUCAUGCCGACACGGGCCAGCACAUUAGAGCCAAUCGGCGCGUGUAAUUUGAUCCAUCCGCAGCCAACAUUGCACAAGAGACCGCCGGAAAUGUUUAGUUUUAGAUAAUCAAAAUUGCUAAUACUAAGUAAAUAUUUGUAAUCUGAAAUUAUUAUAGCAUUAACUAGUUUAUUAAAGCUUUAAAUACAGCACAAAAUUUAUUGCUGCUCUUUUUUCUAACGCAUGAACGAAAAAUAAUAAAAUUCUGAAGUAAUAGGUUUGUCUAUUCUCCGAUGUUUGUACUUAUCUAUGCACAAUUGAUGGAGAAAAAUUAAAUUUCUAACGCGUGUUUUUAAAGCUUAUAUAAAAUAUGUGCAACGUAUGUUAUAAAACGGACGUCCACUUAAUUAAUUAUCAUCAAUUAAAAUUUUGCAGCCUAUUUGCACAACAUUUUCUAAAGUUUGCGAGAGAUCCUAAUCCUUAUUUUAACUUGUUUUAAUGCAUAGUAUUAUACUCGUAUUUUUUUUUUUUUUUUUUUUUUAUUUUUCUAGAAGGAGUAUUCUCAUAGUUUUAUCAAAAAAAGUAUAACAAAAUAAUUGCUCUCUACAAUAUUGGGUAUAUUAUAAAAAAACUCAAAUUUAUAAUUUUUGGAGUAGUUUUAGAGGAAUCAUCUAAGGUCUGCAAAUUCAUAUCUGCUCUAUUCUUUCUCUGUUAAAAGGAUAUGAUAUUUCUUUUAAGUUUAGAAAAAUCCCGAGUGAUCAAAUCAUCUAAAAUAUGCAUUUUUUAAUCUCAAAUAAAAUUAUUUUGAGCAAACCUUUUACACAUAUCCCAAAAAAAAAAAAGAGUUCCAAUUAAAUUCUUCAGAAUAGUACAUAAUAAUGUAUUAAAAUUUGUGAAAGCUGUAGACCCGACCCUGCACUAACCUAAUCCAAACCAAACUUUGAGUACUUGAGUUUUAAUAAAAAAUAAUUAGGCAUAUUAAUUAUUAUUAAUCUUUGAUUUAUUCCAUUAAUAUAAUAUAAUAUUAUGGGUACAAACAGUGGUACUUCUGAUUCUUCGGUGAAUUUAAUUCAAAUUUUGUUUAAUAAUUUUUUUUUCAAUAUUUGUAGUGUAUUUUGUACAAUUGUUUAUAUACCUUUCAUUGAUUAAAAGAUUAAAUACGAAAUUUACAAUUGCCAUUGAGUGCGGUUUUUCCUGGCUCUUGUUUUAAAUUUUGGCACUUCAAAUGAACAUAUUAGUUUGAUUUUAUGAUUAUUUAUCUGUAAACUCGUAUUUAAAAAUAAAAAAUAUAUUUAUUAUUCAUAUUCUAAUUUUUUCGUUGACUUAUAAAAUUCAUAGAAAUAAAUUUUCGUAUAUCAGAAAUAGAAAUUUGUUACCCAUCCACUCAAACAUGGUUACAUUUUUAUUCCGCACUCCAUUAGUAUCUAUGUUCGUUGUUUUCACACAUAAUAAAAAAAGAAUAAUAGAUAUUCUAACACGUAAUAUUUUUAUGCUGAGAUCCCUCAGUAAAAUUAUUUAAAUUUAUUGUUCAGUUUGUCUUGAAAUUUUAUAAGCGUCCACGUGAUGGACUAAAUUGGAUAAUUUUAUAGGGGGAACCAUCCCCGUCAAAUUAAAAGCACAAGUUUCCAGAAAAAUGGUCGAAAAAAAAUGCGUUUACUAAUGAUUUCGGUUUUUAAAUGUUAUUUUUGUAUUCGUUGUUUCCCAUUACAGUUGCUAUAAAAAUCCAUUCAAUAAAAGGUUGUUCAUAACGACACUAAUAUUUAUAAAAUUUCAUAAGUAACAUCCACAAAUGAGUCAAAAAUUUAAGCAUUUACUCACUAUAAUUCGUACCAUCCAAAAUCAUAAAAAUAUAUUUGAACCCAUUUAAUGUUUAAGAAAAUAAAAUCGAGUUGGUGUAAUUAAUCUUAAUUUUUGAAAAAAAAAAGAGAAAGAAGAAGAGCAUGCGGACCGACAAGAUCUAAACUAAAAUUUGUAUACCAAAAAAAUUUUACUCCCAAUAAUUUUUUCCCCUAUUUAUAUAAUAAAAAGAACUAACUCAGAUUACUCAAUUUUAGAAUCUUUUAUCCAAAUAUACUUAAUCUUUUUAAAAUCAUACUUUUUAAUUUUAGAAAUUUUUUAUUUUUAUACAAAAAUAAAAUCUAAAAAAACCCUCUAAUGCAAUUAAUGUAACAAAAUUUUUCCAAAAUUCAAAAAUGGAAAUUUCAAUACAGUUGAUUUCUUUUGUUUUUUUUUUGGGACCGUGUCACUGUUAAUUCAAAUUAGUUCGUUUAAUUUACUUUAGGGGAAGGUUUAAACGCAUUUGUUGGGCCUGAGGAAACGGUCAAAUGAACGAAUAGAAAUUGUGGGAGGAGAAUAAAAAAAAUAAAAAACAGAAAAAGAAAAAGAAGAGUUGAUUUUUUGUCACAGUUUGGACUCGCCCGUGAUCGAAAGUUCGCACUUAAAACGACACGAGCUAUUUAUUAUUUAUUAAUUUAUUUAAUUAAUUAAUUUAUGUUAUGGUUCCUAUGCUAAUUUGGAUUCUCCAAUCGAUAAAUUUGUGACAUUUUGAUUAGUACAUUUUAUUAAUUUAAAAUAUAUUUGAGCUAAAGAUUAUUUGUCGUGUGAUUUUUUUUUUUUUUGCUUAUUUAGAUUUGUAUAAAAAAAUGUGGAAAUUUGCAUUAUACGUUUUAAAAUAGAGAAAUAAUCUUAUACAUUUCUAAAAACAAGUUAAAAAAUAUCUCUGAUAAGAUUUAUCCGUUAUUCAAAUCUGUCCUCACAUUUACUACUGUUAGAUCUCUUCGAAUUAAACCAGAUUAAAUAGCGUCGGAAAAUUAAUUUUAUCUUUUUUACUUAAUCAUUUUCCUAAUUCUAUACAUUCUAAUUCCUCGUCUCUCUAUAGAUUUCUCCCUAUACGAUCAAAUUCUCUCCUUCGGCUGGCCGUCUCUAGAGCAAGUGCAAAAGGCUCGGUGGUUUCCCGAGACCUAAAUUCGAAUCUUAUUAUGUCACUUUUUCAGGCUAAGUUUAUUUCUAAAUACAAUAAACAGAAACGAUGCGUGCUAUCUAUCCUCUAAAAAAAAAAAAUAAAAAUUCUCUCUUCGGGAUUUCUCGCGUCGGUCACACCUCUGAGACGACGGUAGCUCGUGUGGCGGAGGUCCCUCACCAAAAUUUCUGCUAACAUUCAUUUCUCAUAAUUUUUUAACAAAGAUGAUAUAAAUAUUUUGAAUCAUUUUUGUGGUACAUGCAAGAUUCUAUCUUUAAUUUUUGCAAAACAGUGCAAGAUUCAUUUGUGUACAUGCAAGAUUUUAUUUUCAGGAUUUAGAUAUGCGAACGGAUUAAUGAAUAAAGGGCACAAUGAAGGAAGAAGGCUUCAUCUCCUUUAGUCAAUAGCUCAAAGAAAAGAAGCUUUUCUUCUUCCAGUUUGGAAAAAAGAAGAUGACCAUGUAGGUGAAUAAAAAUAAUAGGAGAACUGAUUAAGUCAAAUAUGAAGAGUAGACAGUUUGGGCCAAAUAAAAAAAUGGUAUGGUAGAAUAUAUAUAAAAGUAGGCAAAGAUAGUAAUUUCAUAUGGGAUAACGUACGUUUUUUUUUUAAUUCUACUCCUAGCAUCUAAUUCGAGGUUUAUCCUUGCUAAAGCUUGAUUUUAUAAGGUUUUUUUAAAAAAUUAUGGGAAAAAUAGUUCAUUUCACAGGAGAUAACGAUUUUUUUUUAAGAUGCAAAAAAAUUUUAACUCUAGAUAAUAUUGUAAGAUCUUGAAAUUUUUACAAAAGUAUUUCUCUCAAUAGUAGAUUUUUAAAAGAUAGUAUUUUCAUAUUUCUUUAAUCAGAGCAGUUUAAAUAUUAAUUAAAGUCGUAACUAUUGGUACAUAUAAAUAAUUGCAGCUAAAAUUUUGACAUAUAAAUUAUUGUAUAAGAGUUUUGCAAAAAAUUGUAUUUUGCUUUUUUAUUUUUUUUUUUACUGUAUAAAUAAAAGGGUAAACUAUCAAACACCAACUCUUAUAGGUUUGACACUUUCUCACUUAGUACUCUACUGUUAAAAUGUAUAAUUUAGUGCUAUGUAGUUUUUUUUUUUUCUUUUUUUUGUUAGUCUUGUCCGUUAACAUUUCGUUAAAUUAUAUACAAAAUGUUCAGAAUACCGGCCACCUAGGUUAUCAAUUUUAUUUUUGUAGCUCUUUUAGUUUUACCUCUUAUCCUGAGUUAACUAAAAAAUAGUGGAAAGACAAUAGAAAAAAAUAAUACCACAAGUAUACUAAACUUGAUACACUUUAAAUACAGGGCUUUUUUGGCAAAUAGCCGCCCGUGAUUAAUUUUAUGUUUAAAAUUGCCACUGUCAAAAUUUCAUUUCAAAAUGGCUGCCNNNNNNNNNNNNNNNNNNNNNNNNNUGGGACCGGUCCCCGAGAGCUUCCCUCGGGCGCACGCGUUCGGGAACCGGUCUCUCCCCGGGAGACCGGUCCUCGGGAGACCGGUCUUCGCCUGAGAGACCGAUCCCCGAGAGCUCGAUUUUCAGGACUUAGCCAAUUUUCGGCAAAUCUCGCUGGGACCACGUUCGGGAACCGGUCCCUCCCUGCCAGGGACCGGUUGCAUCACGCAACCCCGCUACGCCGAGCCAGGGGAACCGGUCUCUCACCUGCAGAGACCGGUCCCCGAGAGCAACAUCAGCCCAAUGAUGCAGUUUGCCUCAUUUGCUCUCGCGGACACAACUCCAAGGCACUUUUUGUGCUUUGGACAUUCUCAACUCCCACAAAGGGUAUACUUUCGACAAUUAGUCGAUCCUGGAUGAAGUACAAUCCUCGUAUUUCGAGAAUUCACUUCCUUACAGUUUCUCCUCUUGUUAUACUAUUUUUUAUCUUAAACUGCACCCAUUUAAGAGAUAUUUAUACUGUUUCUCUUCUUGUUGCACUGUUUUUUCUCUUGUUGCACUAUUUCUCCUCUUGUUACAUUGUUUCUCCUCUUAAAGGGUGCAGUUUAAGAUAAAAAUAGUGUAACAGGAGAAGAAAUAGUGCAAUAAGAGGAGAAACAGUGCAACAAGAGGAGAAACAGUAUAAAUAUCUCUUAAAUGGAUGCAGUUUAAGAUAAAAAAUAGUACAGCAAGAGGAGAAAUAGUGCAACAAGAGGAGAAACAGUGCAACUUUCGUUUAAAGAGUGUAACUUUCAUCUUAAUGAAUGCAGUUUACAUCUGAAAGAGUGCAAUAAUAGGAGAAACAGUGUAAAUAUCUCCCAAAGAGUGUAAUUUUUGUUUAAAAAGUGUAAUUUUCAUCUUAAAACUGCAGUUUACAUUUUAAGUAAUGCAACUUAUAUUUUUUUUUCAGUUAACGAUGCAAUUUCAUCUUCAUCCUUCUUUUUCUAUAAUUUUUUAUCUUUAUUUUUUUUCUUGCUUCUUUUAUAAUUUUUUUGGUCACCCCUCUCUGCCAACGGCUACGGCGCCGGCGACGAUGCCGCUGAGGACCCCCUGCUCCGAGGCUGCAGCGCCGCAGUGACCUCCACGGUGUCGGCGCCGGCGAAAAUGCAUCGUCGUCAGAGACGGCAGAAGAGAAUGGAGAGGGAGAGGAGGAGAAGGGUGGAGGAGGGCAAGAGAGGCGUCGGCGUCGGAGACAGUGAAGAGUCGAAGAGGAAAAAAAAAAAAAAAAAGAGUCGCGGCGCGGCCUCGGCAAGUACAGAGGCGAGGAAGGUGGGGGUGUGCAGGCGAGAGUCCGCUCUGUCUCCCCCGCUCUCUAGGAAGGGAAAAAAAAGAACGAGAGAAAAGAGGAGAGAGAAAAGGUAUGAGGGUAUUUUGGUCAGUUUGCUGAAAAAGUUGAUCGAAUCUGCAAAAAUGAAAAAGGUGGCUCGGUUUUGUAAAAGCCCAAAAUAAGUAAAUUUUUUAUGCAAAUUGGCCAAAACUUUCAGUUGAUUUUUGUUAUUUUUACAUAAAACAAUAAUGCCUCUAAUCGUAAGGUAGGAAAAAAAUCUUAUCUUGAACAUGCAUUCCAUUUAGAAGUAGUAUCAUUCAAAUAAAAUUUCCAUCCUGCAUAGAGAUAUGAAAUUUUUUUAUUUUACGGCAUAAUUUCAACUCAAAGUUAGGAUAUAGCUCAAAAUUAAACUUACUGAACCACACAUAUGGCUGAAUGCGACUGGUCUCUGUAGCGCCUACAUGUGUUACCAAAUCUCUGAAUUGAUUAGGGUUGGACUAAGAGCCUGUUUGGCUUACCUUCUGAAAAAGUAAUUUCUGAAAAAGUGAUUUUGGUUUGGAAAAGUGAUUUCUGUUAAAAACUGUAGAGCGUUUGGUGAGUCUGAUAUAAAAGUGAUUUUGCUGAAGUGAUUUUAGAAAGCUGUUUGGCAAAAUUUUUUGCUGAAGUGAUUUUAUAAUGCUGUUUCACAAUCGCAUACAAACUACACAAUACUACAAAUUAAAUAAAAUUUUAAAAUAUUACACACUACAAACUAAUCAAACAAUCAAACAUACAUGCUAAGUUUAAACAUCAAAAAAGAUUGCAACAAUAUUUGGUCUUCUUGCAACUUAAUUUUUAUGAAAGUAAUUAAAAAUUCAGUUUGUGCAUCUGGUGAAAAUUGAAGCGACGACCCAAAUAAAAAAUCUAGAGCUUGGUUCAAGUGUCACUACUUGAAAUACUAAAGGCUUGCAACUUGAAGUGAUUAAUCAACCAGUGAGAAAUGCAGAGAGAAGUGCCACGUCGGCAACGACCCCGGCGCGGCCGGACCCACGCCACGCUGGCAACGACCCCGGAUUCGACCCCGGCGCGGCCAGACCCACGUCACCCCGGCCCUGUCUUUGCUGGAUCCGGCAACGACCCCGGAUCCGACCCCAUCGCGGUCGGACCCACGCCAUGCCGGCAACGACCCCGGAUCCGACCCCGGCGCGGCCGGACCCACGCCACCCCGGCCCUGUCUUUGCCGGAUCCGGCCCCGGCGCAGCCGGACCCACGCCACGCCGGCAACGACCCCGAAUCCAACCCCGGAUCCAGCAAAGACAGUGAGGGAGAGAGAGAAAGUUGUAAAAAAAAAAAGAAAAAAAGAGAGUAUCUUCUUUGGAGGUUCGCCGGAGAGGAGGUUUGUCGGAAAGAAAAGAAUCGCCGGAGAGGAAGAAGGGAGAGAGAUGGAGGAGAGAAGAGAGGAAAAUGGAAUUUUUUUUUUAAUGUUAGAGAGAAAGGGUUGGCUGUGGUAAAUGGGAGAGAGAGAGAGAGAGAAAGAGGAGGUAGUUGGAAGUAUUAAAAGGUUAGAGUAGAAUUAUAUUGUUUGUUUAGGAGUAGUUUCGGUAUUUUUAUAAAUAUUUUUAAAUGAGAAAACUGUUUUUGUGGGAAUCAGUUUUGAGAAGCAGCUUUUUUCUGCUUCUACUUUUAGAGGUUGAAAAAUCAGUUUUCUAAUUCUUAGAAGUAGAAUCAGUUUUUAAAAUUUUCAUUGCCAAAUGCUUUACUGAGCCCAAAAUCACUUUUGGGCUCAGAAUCACUUUUAAAAAGCUUGGCCAAACACCCCCUAAACCUCGCACUAUUACAGUUGGGUCAGAGCCACUCUUGGGCUAAAUUAUUGAACAAGGCCAGGCUUUACGAAGUGGGAACAAGGUUUGUUGUAUGGGCCAGGGUUGAGCCAUGCAUUAGCCCAACCCAUAGCUGGUCUUCCAGAUCUAAACACAUGAGUGUCAAUGUGCUUAAUUUUCAGCUAAACGCUUGCCGAACACAAUUUUAGACAAAUAUUAUUUAAGUUCUCCAAAUAAAAAAUCUAGAGCUUGGUUCAAGUGUCACUACUUGAAAUACUAAAGGCUUGCAACUUGAAGUGAUUAAUCAACCAGUGAGAAAUGCAGAGAGAAGUGCCACGUCGGCAACGACCCCGGCGCGGCCGGACCCACGCCACGCUGGCAACGACCCCGGAUUCGACCCCGGCGCGGCCAGACCCACGUCACCCCGGCCCUGUCUUUGCUGGAUCCGGCAACGACCCCGGAUCCGACCCCAUCGCGGUCGGACCCACGCCAUGCCGGCAACGACCCCGGAUCCGACCCCGGCGCGGCCGGACCCACGCCACCCCGGCCCUGUCUUUGCCGGAUCCGGCCCCGGCGCAGCCGGACCCACGCCACGCCGGCAACGACCCCGAAUCCAACCCCGGAUCCAGCAAAGACAGUGAGGGAGAGAGAGAAAGUUGUAAAAAAAAAAAGAAAAAAAGAGAGUAUCUUCUUUGGAGGUUCGCCGGAGAGGAGGUUUGUCGGAAAGAAAAGAAUCGCCGGAGAGGAAGAAGGGAGAGAGAUGGAGGAGAGAAGAGAGGAAAAUGGAAUUUUUUUUUUAAUGUUAGAGAGAAAGGGUUGGCUGUGGUAAAUGGGAGAGAGAGAGAGAGAGAAAGAGGAGGUAGUUGGAAGUAUUAAAAGGUUAGAGUAGAAUUAUAUUGUUUGUUUAGGAGUAGUUUCGGUAUUUUUAUAAAUAUUUUUAAAUGAGAAAACUGUUUUUGUGGGAAUCAGUUUUGAGAAGCAGCUUUUUUCUGCUUCUACUUUUAGAGGUUGAAAAAUCAGUUUUCUAAUUCUUAGAAGUAGAAUCAGUUUUUAAAAUUUUCAUUGCCAAAUGCUUUACUGAGCCCAAAAUCACUUUUGGGCUCAGAAUCACUUUUAAAAAGCUUGGCCAAACACCCCCUAAACCUCGCACUAUUACAGUUGGGUCAGAGCCACUCUUGGGCUAAAUUAUUGAACAAGGCCAGGCUUUACGAAGUGGGAACAAGGUUUGUUGUAUGGGCCAGGGUUGAGCCAUGCAUUAGCCCAACCCAUAGCUGGUCUUCCAGAUCUAAACACAUGAGUGUCAAUGUGCUUAAUUUUCAGCUAAACGCUUGCCGAACACAAUUUUAGACAAAUAUUAUUUAAGUUCUUUGUGACACCCUAAUAGAGUCCCAUAUCAGAUGGAAAAAAAAUUAUGAUUGGAUAUAUAAGACAUCAUGGACCAUAUUAAUAAUAAGUAAGUUUAAAUAUUUUUCGCCGGUGGUUUACGUCCAACGAAUUAUCAUUACUAGUGAACCGGAUCGCUAUAUUCAGUGUUAAAGUCGAUUCACCAGCCGAAAGUGUUGGACUCACAUCCUUGAUGAUUUGAGGCCGAUGAGGACGUUGUUGAGACCAAAACUGAGGGCACGAUGAACCCUAAUAAUCAUUAGCAAUAAUAACCCUCCUCCACCUUCUCCUCCUUUGUCGUCUUCUUCUUCUUUGUGUGCGCGCAAGCGCACUCGCGUGCUAGUCUUGACUUUUCUCAAUCUUAAAUGUGAUGGUGUCUUUGAUCAAUGGAGGUGCAAGCAUAUUAAUUGAACCACCAAAUGUGCAUCAUUUUUGGCAUGUUCUGAAUCACUUCCGCACAUCAUGUAAAAGCUUGGGAAUGAGCUUUUGCUUUCAAGAAAAAGGAUUUCAUCACUACAAACUAGAGAAGUUACAUGGCUGAAGGAGUAUCGAGAAGUGCUUCUAUCCUCUCUUCAUUCUCAAGGAAGCGUGCCGUGCAGUAAACUUCCUUGUCAAGGUUACAAUUUCUCACCAGUACUUAUACCUCUAUAUAUAUAGAAGCCAAUCAGCUGCUGAUUAUUCACCAAGCAUAUGUCAAACAUUUGACCACAUAUAAUAGACACAAAAACUUGUACCUUGAUCUGAGAACUGAAACAUAAUUCUUGACCUCCAAUAGUUAAUUGCUAUUGGUUGGGGCUCUUAUUAGUUACACACUGUAUGAAAGAAAAUUCUUUGAUGAGAGGAUGCUAAUGCGAAAAUGUCAUUUAUUAAAGCUUUUUCAACCACCUUGACUUGCAUCUCACCGUCAUUAACAACAACCAUUUCUCUGUUUUUUUCUUUCUUUUCUUUUUUUUUUUUAAAAAAAUAAUAAUAAUAAAGGAGAAUCCAAAGUUGUUUCCAGCGAAUUUUAAUGUAUAACAGUAAUAAAACCACAUUUGUUUGUAUUUCAGUAAGUACUUAGGCCAGCUUAUUGACCUCUCCUGAGACCAACAGAAAAGCAAAAAAAAAAAAAAAAGAAAAAAAGAGAAUUAUGGAGGAAAAAAAAGGAGGGAAAACACAAAUUCUCUACAAAUAAUCUUAUCAUCCUCUGUUUAAUUUCUAUCCUUCCAACCUAUCUUUGUGUAUCAAAAUGAGGAUUCCAAAUUUUUUAAUCCAUCCACAUUUUAAUCCCAAGAAAAAAAAAGAAAUAAAGGAAGAAAAGAAGGAACUAUUCUUUGUAAAAUCCAAGUAAAGGCGGAGAGGAAUCAUCAAUCACCAAGAUCCAAUCUACACUUCUGCACACCUCAUCGGCGCGAAUCCGAGGCGGGACUUGUCCAGGUCGUAUAAAAUGUGGAAAUUCUGCUGCUGGUAGUUCCCGAUGAUCGACAGCGCCGACCGCGGCGUGCCGAGGAUGGCGAGACACACCAUCUCCUCCGGCUCGAGCCGGAUGAAGUAGUUCUCCACCGGGAAAUUCCACACCGCGCCGUCCGCGAACACGAUCGCAAACUCCGGCAGCUCCACCUCCUCCACCCCGGAGACGUUGUAGCACGGAUUCAGCACCGGAAAGUCGUCGACCAUCGGAUAGUUCUUGACCCUCUCGACGAACGCUUCUCUGAUCACCCGAUACGCCGGAUCGGCGAAGUAGCUCAGCGUCGUCCCCGAAUCGACGAUGGUCCCGCCGCGCCCGUCCCCGGACAAUUCCCAAGUCUCCGGGGGAAUCUGCAGCAUGUGGCCGCCGACGAGGAUCCCCUUGAUCUGGACGUAGUAGAAGGUGUCGGCCGGGUUGUCCUUGCCGGCGACGAAGGCGGUGUAAUUGAGAUCCGGGUGGGCCAGCAGCCUCCGGUCCUCGCCGAAUAUCAGCUUGCUGGACACGCUCAUGUCGCUGUCGCGGUCGACGAGGCAGUAGGAGAAGGCGUGGCCGUAGAGCCCGCGGAGCUGCGAGGCGAACGACAGCGGCCCGCGGCCGAGGCCCAGCAGCCCCGCGGCGCCGUGGAACAGCCCGCGGUUCCAGUGCCCGCAGCCGAAGAUCACGUUGUCCACGCGGCGGAACGCGUUCGAGCCAUGGUCGUCGGGGGAGGUGAGGUUNCUGGUCGAAGCAGGCGAGGCAGGGGGCGCACUGGAGCCAGUUGAGGUCGCUGCCGGUGUCCAGGAUGACGGAGAAGUGCCGCGGCGGGGUGCCCACGAACACGUCCAUCAGGUACUCCCCCGACCCCAGCGUCACGCCCGACUCCAGCGUCGCCACCAGCCGCCCCGCCAGCUCCGGACCUACCGCCGGCUCCCCGCAGUCGUCCGUCUUCUUCUCCUUCUCCUUCUCCUUCUCCGCGAGGGUGCGGGCGAGCCGCGAGGUCGAGUUCUGAUUCUUCCUGUCCGCGAUCCUCCUGAACAGGGUCUGGAUCCGGACCACGUCCUUCUGCGCCGUCUCUCCCACAUUCGGAUUCCUCGGCGCCUGCUGCCUCAGCUGCAGCUUCAGCGGCGGCGGCGGCGGCGGAGGCGCUGGCUUUUCAGCCUCGCUCUCGUCGACCGGAGAACUCGUACGGCGGUGGCUGCAGCCGGAAUCGGACGCCACCGCGUUGAAGCUCGGCAGCUCGAUGCCGCGGAGAAGAGGAUUUCUGGAGGUCGAGAAGUUCGCGCUGGAGAGAGAAGCCGACGAGGGGCCGAAAUGGAUAGAGAGGAUUAAUAGAAGAUACAACUGGAACUGGAAGGAUUUAGCCAUUUUUUUUUUUCACAGCUGAUUCUUCAUGAAACUAACUCAGAAUCUAUAGCUCAAAAGCGGAGACAAAUUAAUUUGAAGGAAAACAAUAAUAUAUAUUUUUUUAAAAAAAAAAAUAAAAAAACUGGGGAGGAGGAGGAGGAAGUGGAGGAGGUGGAUAUUGGAGGAAACAAAGAGGAGUCUAAAAUGGGAGUUCCCAGGAAACUUAGCUGUGUGUGUACUUUGAAGAGAGAGAGAGGAGAGAAAAAAAGGGUUAGUUUGAAUCAACGGGUUGGAGGUUGGAAUUUGCGAAGCCAAGCAAUGGGGAAACGCGGCUUCUCUGCCGAAGGGCGGAGAACGAAGACCAGUUCCUGUUUUAUUUAUUUAUUUAUUUAUUUAUUAUAUCUAGUGCGGCAGUGUUAUUAACCAAAAGUAAGAAAAAAAUAAUAAUAAUUUUUAUAUGUUAUAUCCUGGAACUUGAUUUUAAGUUUCGAGGAGGCAACGGCAGUGUCAUGCCGACACGCCAAUUAGAGCCAAUCGGGCGCGUGUAAUUUGGAUCCAAUCCGAGCAGAACACUUGCACAAGUAGACGCCGGAAAUGUUUAGUUUUGAUAAUUCAAAUAGUUUAAUAACUAAGUUAAUAUUUUGAAUCGAAAUUAUUAUUACAUUAAUAGUUUAUUAAAGCUUUAAAUACAGCACAAAAUUUAUUGCUGUUUCUUUUUUCUAACGCAUGAAGAAAAUAAUAAAAAUUCUGAGUAUAGGUUUGUCUAUUCUCCGAUGUUUGUACUUAUCUAUCACAAUUGAUGGAGAAAAAUUAGAUUUCUACGCGUGUUUUUAAGCUAUAUAAAAUUAUGUGCAACGUAUGUUUUUAAAACGGACGUCCACUUAAUAAUUAUCAUCAAAAUUAAAAAUUUGUCAGCCUAUUUGCAAAAUUUUUAAGUUUGCGAGAGAUUCUUAUACGCUUAUUUACUUUGUUUAAUGCUUAGUAUUAUACUCGUAUUAUUAUUAUUUUUUUUUUUUCUAGGAGUAUUCUCAUAGUUUAUGCAAAAAAAGUAUAACAAAAUAAAAUUUCUCUCUACAAUAGUUGGGUAUAUUAUAAAAAAAAACUCAAACCUUUAUAAUUUUUGGAGUAGUUUUAGAGGAAAUCAUCUUAGGGUUGCAUUCAUCUGUCUCUAUUUUCCUCUGUCUAAAAUGGAUGGAUGUAUUUCUUUUAAGUUUAGAAAAAUUCGAGUGAUCCAAAUAUCUAAAAUAUACAUUUUUUUAAUCUCAAAUAUAAUUAUUUUGAGCAACCUUUUUAUCAUACCCCAAAAAAAAAGAGUUCCAAUUAAAUUCUCAGAAUUGUACAUAAUAUGUAAUUAAAAUUUGUGAAGAUGUAGACCCGAACCUGCACUAACCUAAUCCAAAACCAACUUUUGAGUACUUGAUUUUUAAAUAAAAAAUAAGUUAUGGCAUAUUAAUUAUUAUUAAUCUUUGAUUUAUUUCCAUUAAUUAAUAUAAUAUUAUGGGUACAAACAGUGGUACUCUGAUUCUUCGGUGAUUUAAUUCAAAUUUUGUUUUAUAAAUUUUUUUUUCAAUAUUUGUAGUUGUAUUUUUUGUUAAAAUUGUUUUAUAUACCUUUUCAUUGGAUUUAAAAAGAUGAAGUAUCAAAUUUACAAUUGCCAUUGAGUGCGGUUUUUCCUGCUUUGUUUUUAAUUUUUGGCAUCUUCAAAUGAACAUAUUUAGUUUGAUUUUAUGAUAUUUUAUCUGUAAACUCGUAUUUUAAAAAAUAAAAAAAUAUUAUUAUUAUUAUAUUUCUAUUUUUUCGUUGACUUAUAAAAUUCAUAGAAAUAAAAUUUUCGUAUAGUCAAGAAAUAGAAAAUUGUUACACCAUCCACUCAAAUGGUUACAUCUUUAUUCGCACUCAUUUAGUAUCUAUGUUGUUGUUUUCACACAUAAUAACAAAAGAAUAUAUAAAUUUUCUAACACGGUAACAUUUUAUGCUGAUGAUCCCUCACGUAAAAUUAUUUAAUUUAUUGUUCACAUUGUCUUGAAAUUUAGAGCGUCCACGUGAUGGACUUAAAUUGGAUAAUUUUAUAGGGGAACCAUCCCCGUCAAAAUUAAAGCACAAGUUCCAGAAAAAAUGGUCGAAAAAAUGCGUUUACUAUGAUUUCUGUGUUUUUAAAAUGUUUAUUUUGCUAUUUCGUUGUUUCCCAUUACAUUGCUAUAAAAAUCCAUCAAUAAAAGGUGUGUCAUAACACUAAAAUUUAUAAAUUUCAUAGAGUACAUCACAAAUGAGUCAAAAAUUUAGCAUUUUACUAGCUUAUAAUUCGUACUCAAAUCAUAAAAAGAAUUAUUUGAAAUUUAAUGUUAAGAAAAAUAAAAAUCGAGUUUGGUGUAAUUAAUCUUACAAAUUACCGAUGUGGGGCAAAUAUUUUUGAAAAAAAAAAAGAGAAAGAAGAAGAGCCAUGCAGACCCACAAAGAUCUAAACUAAAAUUUUGUAUUAACCAAAAAUUUACUCAAUAAAGUUUUUGUUCCUAUUUAUAAUAAAAAGAACUACUCAAAUUACUCAAUUUUAGAAUCUUUUAAUCCAAAUAUACUUAAUUCUUUUUUAAAAAUCAUAUUCUUUAAUUUUUAGAAAUUUAUUUUAUACAAAAAUUUUAAAAAUCUAAAAAAAACCCUCUAAUGCAAUUAAUGUAAACAACAAUUUUAAAAAUUCAAAAAUGGAAAUUUCAAUCACAGUUGAUUUCUUUUUGUUUUUUUUUGCCGUGUCAACUGCUUAAUUCAAAUUAGUUGACGUUUAAUUUACUUUUAAGUUUAAACGCAUUUGUUGGGGCCGUGGAGGAAACGGUCAAAUGAACGAAUAGAAAUUGUGGGAGGAGAAUAAAAAAAAUAAAAAAAGAAAAAGAAAAAGAAGAGGUUGAUUUUUGGUCACGUUUGGACUCGCACCGUGCAUCGAAAGUUCGCACUAAAACGACACGAGCUAUUUAUUUAUUUAUUAAUUUAUUUAUUAAUUAAUUUAUUUUAUAGGUUAUCCUAUGCUUAAUUUUGAUUCUCCAACGAUAAAUUUUGUGACAUUUUGAUUAGUACAUUUUAUUUAAUUUAAAAUAUAUUUGAGCUAAAAGAUUAUUUGUCGUGUGAUUUUUUUUUUUUUUGCUUAUUUAGUUUUGUAUAAAAAAAUUUGGGAUAAUUGUCAUUAUAGUCUUUAAAAUUAGAGAAAUAUCUUAUACAUUUCUAAAAAAAACAAUUCAAAAAAUAUUCCUAUAAGAUUUAUCCGUUAUUCAAAUCUGUCCUCACAUUUACUAACUGUUAGAUCAUCUUGAAUUAAACCUAGAUUUAAAUAGCGGAAAAAUUAUAUUUUUAUCCUUUUUUACUUAAUCUAUUUUUCUAUUCUAUACAUUCUAAUUCCUCGCUCUCUCUAAGAUUUCUCCCUAUAGCGAUCAAAUUCUCUCCUUCGGGACUGGCCGUCUCUAGAGCAAGUGGCAAAAGGCUCGGUGGUUGGUCCCCGAGACCUAAAUUCGAAUCUUAGUUGAUUCACUUUUUCAGCUAAGUUUAUUUCUAAAUAAAAUAAACGAAACGGAUAGCGUGCUAUCUAUCUCUAAAAAAAAAAUAAAAAUUCUCUCCUUCGGGAUUCU